CAUUUAAAGAAAGCGUAAUAGCUCACUGGUCGAGUCGGCCUGCGCGGAAGAUGUAACGGGGCUAAACCAUGCACCGAAGCUGCGGCAGCGACACUCAGGUGUUGUUGGGUAGGGGAGCGUUCUGUAAGCCUGCGAAGGUGGCCUGUGAGGGUUGCUGGAGGUAUCAGAAGUGCGAAUGCUGACAUAAGUAACGAUAAAGCGGGUGAAAAGCCCGCUCGCCGGAAGACCAAGGGUUCCUGUCCAACGUUAAUCGGGGCAGGGUGAGUCGACCCCUAAGGCGAGGCCGAAAGGCGUAGUCGAUGGGAAACGGGUUAAUAUUCCCGUACUUGGUGUUACUGCGAAGGGGGGACGGAGAAGGCUAUGUUGGCCGGGCGACGGUUGUCCCGGUUUAAGCGUGUAGGUGUGUGUUCCAGGUAAAUCCGGUUCACUUUAACACUGAGGCGUGACGACGAGGCACUACGGUGCUGAAGCAACAAAUGCCCUGCUUCCAGGAAAAGCCUCUAAGCAUCAGGUAACAUCAAAUCGUACCCCAAACCGACACAGGUGGUCAGGUAGAGAAUACCAAGGCGCUUGAGAGAACUCGGGUGAAGGAACUAGGCAAAAUGGUGCCGUAACUUCGGGAGAAGGCACGCUGACAUGUAGGUGAAGUGAUUUACUCAUGGAGCUGAAGUCAGUCGAAGAUACCAGCUGGCUGCAACUGUUUAUUAAAAACACAGCACUGUGCAAACACGAAAGUGGACGUAUACGGUGUGACGCCUGCCCGGUGCCGGAAGGUUAAUUGAUGGGGUCAGCGCAAGCGAAGCUCCUGAUCGAAGCCCCGGUAAACGGCGGCCGUAACUAUAACGGUCCUAAGGUAGCGAAAUUCCUUGUCGGGUAAGUUCCGACCUGCACGAAUGGCGUAAUGAUGGCCAGGCUGUCUCCACCCGAGACUCAGUGAAAUUGAACUCGCUGUGAAGAUGCAGUGUACCCGCGGCAAGACGGAAAGACCCCGUGAACCUUUACUAUAGCUUGACACUGAACAUUGAGCCUUGAUGUGUAGGAUAGGUGGGAGGCUUUGAAGCGUGGACGCCAGUCUGCGUGGAGCCGACCUUGAAAUACCACCCUUUAAUGUUUGAUGUUCUAACGUGGACCCGUAAUCCGGGUUGCGGACAGUGUCUGGUGGGUAGUUUGACUGGGGCGGUCUCCUCCUAAAGAGUAACGGAGGAGCACGAAGGUUGGCUAAUCCUGGUCGGACAUCAGGAGGUUAGUGCAAUGGCAUAAGCCAGCUUGACUGCGAGCGUGACGGCGCGAGCAGGUGCGAAAGCAGGUCAUAGUGAUCCGGUGGUUCUGAAUGGAAGGGCCAUCGCUCAACGGAUAAAAGGUACUCCGGGGAUAACAGGCUGAUACCGCCCAAGAGUUCAUAUCGACGGCGGUGUUUGGCACCUCGAUGUCGGCUCAUCACAUCCUGGGGCUGAAGUAGGUCCCAAGGGUAUGGCUGUUCGCCAUUUAAAGUGGUACGCGAGCUGGGUUUAGAACGUCGUGAGACAGUUCGGUCCCUAUCUGCCGUGGGCGCUGGAGAACUGAGGGGGGCUGCUCCUAGUACGAGAGGACCGGAGUGGACGCAUCACUGGUGUUCGGGUUGUCAUGCCAAUGGCACUGCCCGGUAGCUAAAUGCGGAAGAGAUAAGUGCUGAAAGCAUCUAAGCACGAAACUUGCCCCGAGAUGAGUUCUCCCUGAGACUUAGAGUCUCCUGAAGGAACGUUGAAGACGACGACGUUGAUAGGCCGGGUGUGUAAGCGCAGCGAUGCGUUGAGCUAACCGGUACUAAUGAACCGUGAGGCUUAACCUU
This 1828-nucleotide ribosomal RNA is filed under the name Salmonella enterica subsp. enterica serovar Infantis. Its description in RNAcentral is "bacterial LSU rRNA". It matches the Rfam family "Bacterial large subunit ribosomal RNA", at positions 1120 to 2925 of the family's 2925-position model. The record is from RNAcentral. Lineage: Bacteria; Pseudomonadati; Pseudomonadota; Gammaproteobacteria; Enterobacterales; Enterobacteriaceae.